GAUGAAGAACGUAGCGAAAUGCGAUAAGUAAUGCGAAUUGCAGAAUUUCCGUGAGUCAUCGAAUCUUUGAACGCACAUUGCGCCCUUUGGUAUUCCUUAGGGCAUGCCUGUUCGAGCGUCAUUUAAACCUUCAAGCUAAGCUUGGUGUUGGGUGACUGUCCGCUUCACUGCGGACUCGCCUCAAAAUUAUUGGCGGCCGGUACAUUGGCUUCGAGCGCAGCAGAAACGCGAACUCGGGCCCGUCGUAUUGGCUCCCAGAAGCUAUCUUCACAAUUUUGACCUCGGAUCAGGUAGGGAUACCCGCUGAACUUAAGCAUAUCAAUAAGCGGAGGA
Molecule: unclassified non-coding RNA, 333 nt
Filed under: soil metagenome
Description: partial contains 5.8S ribosomal RNA, internal transcribed spacer 2, and large subunit ribosomal RNA
Rfam family: 5.8S ribosomal RNA (bases 1-121)
Source: RNAcentral